UUUGAGACCGGCGCACGGGUGCGUAACGCGUAUGCAAUCUACCUUUUACAGAGGGAUAGCCCAGAGAAAUUUGGAUUAAUACCUCAUAGUAUAGUGAGUUGGCAUCAACACACUAUUAAAGUCACAACGGUAAAAGAUGAGCAUGCGUCCCAUUAGCUAGUUGGUAAGGUAACGGCUUACCAAGGCAACGAUGGGUAGGGGUCCUGAGAGGGAGAUCCCCCACACUGGUACUGAGACACGGACCAGACUCCUACGGGAGGCAGCAGUGAGGAAUAUUGGUCAAUGGGCGCAAGCCUGAACCAGCCAUGCCGCGUGCAGGAUGACGGUCCUAUGGAUUGUAAACUGCUUUUGCACAGGAAGAAACACUCGGUCGUGACCGAGCUUGACGGUACUGUGAGAAUAAGGAUCGGCUAACUCCGUGCCAGCAGCCGCGGUAAUACGGAGGAUCCAAGCGUUAUCCGGAAUCAUUGGGUUUAAAGGGUCCGUAGGCGGCCAGAUAAGUCAGUGGUGAAAGCCCAUCGCUCAACGAUGGAACGGCCAUUGAUACUGUUUGGCUUGAAUUAUUUGGAAGUAACUAGAAUAUGUAGUGUAGCGGUGAAAUGCUUAGAGAUUACAUGGAAUACCAAUUGCGAAGGCAGGUUACUACAAAUUGAUUGACGCUGAUGGACGAAAGCGUGGGUAGCGAACAGGAUUAGAUACCCUGGUAGUCCACGCCGUAAACGAUGGAUACUAGCUGUUGGGAGCAAUCUCAGUGGCUAAGCGAAAGUGAUAAGUAUCCCACCUGGGGAGUACGUUCGCAAGAAUGAAACUCAAAGGAAUUGACGGGGGCCCGCACAAGCGGUGGAGCAUGUGGUUUAAUUCGAUGAUACGCGAGGAACCUUACCAAGGCUUAAAUGUAGAUUGACCGGUUUGGAAACAGACUUUUCGCAAGACAAUUUACAAGGUGCUGCAUGGUUGUCGUCAGCUCGUGCCGUGAGGUGUCAGGUUAAGUCCUAUAACGAGCGCAACCCCUGUUGUUAGUUGCCAGCGAGUCAUGUCGGGAACUCUAGCAAGACUGCCAGUGUAAACUGUGAGGAAGGUGGGGAUGACGUCAAAUCAUCACGGCCCUUACGCCUUGGGCUACACACGUGCUACAAUGGCCGGUACAGAGAGCAGCCACUACGCAAGUAGGAGCGAAUCUAUAAAACCGGUCUCAGUUCGGAUC
This 1204-nucleotide ribosomal RNA is filed under the name Flavobacterium psychrophilum. RNAcentral's name for it is "bacterial SSU rRNA". It matches the Rfam family "Bacterial small subunit ribosomal RNA", at positions 88 to 1299 of the family's 1533-position model. Lineage: Bacteria; Pseudomonadati; Bacteroidota; Flavobacteriia; Flavobacteriales; Flavobacteriaceae. The record is from RNAcentral.